AUGCCAGGAGAGCCCGGAGUUAAGGGUGACCGUGGCUUCGAUGGCCUUCCUGGUUUGCCUGGUGACAAGGGUUAUCGUGGUCAAACUGGAGGAUUGGGACCCCCAGGACCCCCUGGAGAGGAUGGAGAAAGGGUAAUUCUAAACGCUUUGUGCGGUUACAGUAAACUAACAAUAGUGAACAAUGCAUGCUACCUGAACAUCCUCUUGAUCCUUGUUGAUCAUAUUUGCUUGAAUAUCUGUCAUCUUUAUAAAGCAAAAAAAAAAAAAAAAUAA
This 273-nucleotide long non-coding RNA is filed under the name Carassius auratus (goldfish). RNAcentral's name for it is "lncRNA (ENSCARG00000035057.1)". The record is from RNAcentral. Lineage: Eukaryota; Metazoa; Chordata; Actinopteri; Cypriniformes; Cyprinidae.